CCCUUAGAUGUCCGGGGCUGCACGCGCGCUACACUGAAGGAAUCAGCGUGCUAAAACCAUUGUCGAAAGGCAUUGGUAAACCCAUUAAAAUCCUACGUGAUUGGGAUCGGGAAUUGCAAUUAUUUCCCUUGAGCGAGGAAUUCCCAGUAAGUGUGGGUCAUAAGCUCGCGUUGAUUACGUCCCUGCCCUUUGUACACACCGCCCGUCGCUGCCCGGGACUGAGCCGUUUCGAGAAAAGCGGGGACUGCUGCUGUCGGGGCUUUCGGGCCUUGGCUUCGGUGGAAACCGCUUUAAUCGCAGUGGCUUGAACCGGGCAAAAGUCGUAACA
Molecule: ribosomal RNA, 328 nt
Filed under: uncultured eukaryote
Lineage: Eukaryota
Description: partial 18S ribosomal RNA
Rfam family: Eukaryotic small subunit ribosomal RNA
Source: RNAcentral